RNAcentral lists this long non-coding RNA (206 nucleotides) under Nicotiana benthamiana. RNAcentral describes it as "long non-coding RNA (NBEN_LNC010885)". Lineage: Eukaryota; Viridiplantae; Streptophyta; Magnoliopsida; Solanales; Solanaceae. The record is from RNAcentral.
CUAAUGAUCUAAGAAUUUUCUCAAUGACUCUUACAUCGCUUAGAGUUUCACCAUUCCUCUUUAAUUGAUUGACAAUCGCCAUGACUCUUGUAAAAUAAUCGGAAAUUUAUUCAAAGUCUUUCUUAUUUAAGGAUUCGAACUCACCUCGUAGGGUUUGUAGUCGAACCUUUUUCACCUUAUCAACUCCCUUGUGAGAAUUCUCUAAG